GGGAGAAUCGCUUGAACCUGGGAGGUGGAGGUUGCAGUGAGCUGAGAUCACGCCACUGCACUCCAGCCUGGGUGACAGAGUGAGACUCUGUCUC
This 94-nucleotide microRNA precursor is filed under the name Saimiri boliviensis boliviensis (Bolivian squirrel monkey). RNAcentral's name for it is "miRNA (ENSSBOG00000004151.1)". Lineage: Eukaryota; Metazoa; Chordata; Mammalia; Primates; Cebidae. The record is from RNAcentral.